GAGAGCAUGCAAAAUGAAGAG
Molecule: microRNA, 21 nt
Filed under: Pristionchus pacificus
Lineage: Eukaryota; Metazoa; Nematoda; Chromadorea; Rhabditida; Neodiplogasteridae
Description: ppc-miR-8364r-3p
Source: miRBase by way of RNAcentral